Molecule: ribosomal RNA, 878 nt
Filed under: uncultured archaeon
Lineage: Archaea
Description: bacterial SSU rRNA
Rfam family: Archaeal small subunit ribosomal RNA
Source: RNAcentral
UUCCGGUUGAUCCUGCCAGUAGGCCAUUGCUAUUGGAGUCCGAUUUAGCCAUGCUAGUUGUACGAGUUCAGACUCGUAGCAGAUAGCUCAGUAACACGUGGCCAAACUACCCUCUGGAGCGCGACAACCUCGGGAAACUGAGGCUAAUCGCGCAUACCGCUCUCAGGCUGGAACUGCCGAGAGCGCGAAAUGCUCCGGCGCCAGAGGAUGUGGCUGCGGCCGAUUAGGUAGACGGUGGGGUAACGGCCCACCGUGCCAGUAAUCGGUACGGGUUGUGAGAGCAAGAGCCCGGAGACGGUAUCUGAGACAAGAUACCGGGCCCUACGGGGCGCAGCAGGCGCGAAACCUUUACACUGCACGCCAGUGCGAUAAGGGGACUCCAAGUGCGAGGGCAUAACGUCCUCGCUUUUCGUGACCGUAAGGUGGUCACAGAAUAAGGGCUGGGCAAGACCGGUGCCAGCCGCCGCGGUAAUACCGGCAGCCCAAGUGAUGGCCGCUCUUAUUGGGCCUAAAGCGUCCGUAGCUGGCCGCGCAAGUCCAUCGGGAAAUCUGUCCGCUUAACGGGCAGGCGUCCGGUGGAAACUGUGCGGCUUGGGACCGGAAGACCAGAGGGGUACGUCUGGGGUAGGAGUGAAAUCCUGUAAUCCUGGACGGACCACCGGUGGCGAAAGCGCCUCUGGAAGACGGAUCCGACGGUGAGGGACGAAAGCUCGGGUCACGAACCGGAUUAGAUACCCGGGUAGUCCGAGCUGUAAACGAUGUCUGCUAGGUGUGGCACAGGCUACGAGCCUGUGCUGUGCCGUAGGGAAGCCGUGAAGCAGACCGCCUGGGAAGUACGUCCGCAAGGAUGAAACUUAAAGGAAUUGGCGGGGGAGCAC